AAUACACUGAGACAGCAUGGUUUGCAGCAGAGAAAGAGUUUAAUGUUUGCAGAGCAGCCAAGUAGAGAGACGAGGGGAAUCCUCAAAUCCAUAUCCUCCGGGGAGUUCUGGACUGGGGUUUUUAAGGAGAUUGUGGAGGGCAAGGGGCUGGAAAAUUGAGGCUGUUGAUUCAUUGUGGCAAGGGAAUGAGAUCAUCAGGAUGUGGAAACUUCAUUCGUUGAGUCCAGAAUUCUCUUUUCUCAACACUAGAUGGCAGUAGAGUUAAAGAAAAAAAAUCCCAGCAGUUCUUUGUACAGGGAUUUGGUGAUUUUUCCCAUAAAGCUGCGAUGAGGAUGAACUCAGAGCAAAAUCUAUGUGUUCUUUCAGCCAGGACCAGGGCCUUCCUGCUCCAGCGAAGCUCAUCCACCUGUGGGUCAAGCAACUCCAUCUGUCCUCAGGACGCUUUUUGAACACUGGCUCACUUUAGAGCCAUAAAUGCCUAGAUUCAUGAAUACAAGACAAGCAGCCCCAAGAGAAAAAUCAGUGAAGGAUAUGAAGAACAGUGCAUGGGAGAGCAAGCCUCAAUGAUCAAGAUGAGAAGAUGCUCAAAAGGGAAAUGCGGUCCACAAAAGCAAAGAGAUGACCCUCCCUAUCUGCCACACUGGCCAAAAAUAAAGAGGUCGAAAUAUUUGUAGCAUUAUAUCUAGAGCAAAACGUGAUAUAAAGUGAAAAGGGGUAUGAAUGGUCAGUCGUUGAUUUAAAAUUUGACACAUCCAUAUCCUAUAUGUUUAUGCUGCGAUCAGAAAAGUAUGAAUUUGAGCUGGUUAACGUGGAAAGAUUCCCACAAUAUAUUGCAUAAAUAAUGUCUAAUGUAAUCCUAUUUUUGUAUCAAAAAAUCGAGGUGGGUGUGAAUUCGUGCUUAUUCACUUCUGAAGCCGGAAUAUCUGGGUUUGGUCCUGUACAUAGCUCUUAUUGGCUGUGGGACUUUGGGAACUUAAUGUAACCUCUCUGUGUUGCUGAUCUUUAUACUUGUAUAUUAAAUGGGGGACAAUAGCAAUGUCUACUUUAGGGUUGAUAUGAGGAUUAACUCAGCUAUUGUAUGCAGAGACUUACAAUGGUGCCCGGAAUAUAAUGUGCUCAAUAAGUGUGGCUGUUACGAUAGUUUGUGUAAUUGCAGUAAUGUCUAUAAUUGCAUAUGAUUUAUGGGAAUGGAGAAAAAUACCAAAGGGUGCAGCAUUGGUUGUUAGCAUGAGUUACUUCGUGUCAAGUGGAGGAGGGAAGUGCUUGAAUAGGGAUCAAGGUGGGGGAGAAAAGGAUGAAGGGUAACAGGGAUAAAAUAUACGUGGGGUAAAAAAGAACCUUUAACCAUAGCAUGCUGGCCUCUGCAAUAGAUAACCUGUAAGGAAAAGACAAGGAUGGAGAGGGAACCAAUGAUAUAGAUAAAAGAAGACCUUUCAAAUUAAAAAGAAAUGGGCAAGACCAAGCGGUAGUGUCUAAGGAUUCAUACGUGAGCGAUAAGGUGUCAAAGAAACACACAAAAAGAUAAAAGUCCCGGGCUGGGCAUGGUGGCUCACGCCUGUAAUCCUAGCACUUUGGGAGGCUGAGGCAGGCCGAUCAACUGAGGUCGGGAGUUCGAGACUAGCCUGAUCAACAUGGAGAAACCCCAUCUCUACUAAGAAGACAAAAUUAGCCAGUCGUGGUGGUGGUGGUGCAUGCCUGUAAUCCCAGCUACUUGGGAGGCUGAGGUGGGAGAAUCGCUUGAGCCCUGGAGGCAGAGGUUGCAGUGAGCUGAGAUCAUGCCAUUGCACUCCAGUCUGGGCAACAAGAGCAAAACUCCAUCUCAAAACACAACAAAACAAAAGUCCCAGUAGUGAUAAUUUUUUGAAGGAGAGAGGGAUAGUGUCUGGGAUGGGGCAUAAAACACGGAUAUCUGGGGUGGCUGCACAAUUUUGUUUCUUGAUCUGCAUUGGUAGUUAUAAUAAUUCUUCAAGAUUUCCAUUUUUGGUAUAGUUUUUUGCAUUUGUAGUAUGUUUUAGUGUACAAUAAAAGGCUAAAACAUCCUAGUAAAUAUAAUCUCUGUGCAUUUAUGAAAAGUUAUAUGUUUAUAAGAACAGAUACACAAGUCAAAACAGCAACUAGCUAGUGAGUAUAUAAAAUCGCCCCUAGAAGCUAAAGAGAAUGUUCCAAUAUGAGGUUGAGGGCUAUCCGUCUCCAAAUCUAUGGGACCUGAAGGCGCUGGGCUAGGCAGGUUUCCUACCUAACUUUGUCCAGACAGCUGAAGGCAGGAAGGAUUAGUUUUGAUCAUGCCUGCUGGGUGUAUGAGUCACAUUCUACCUGGUAAUUAUUUUUGACAUUUGACAGUUCUAGGCACAACCUUUUGCAGCUCUGAAAUCUUGGCAGGCCAUUUAUUUUUGAAGCUUCAUGUUUUCCUUUUCACAGGAUAUACCUAUUUGGGUACCUUGUUCAAAUUAAGGUAGAGAUUUUUGAAGAGUCACAAGCCGGGAGGAAAACGUAGAGUUUCAGGAAAGAACUCAUCACUUAGCAACAACAACAACAACAACAACGACAACAACAACAACAAAAGUGUGACCUUUACUUGAAAAAUACCAGCCCCUGGCCACAGAACUAGGCUUACAAUUUUUCAGAGCAGGCACCAGGUGAAUCUUUGUUCCCAAAUAUUUUCCCUACCUGCCUGUACCACAAUGCUGAAAUUCUAUUCUUAGACAGAUAACUCGUUUGACUGGUGAGUUUAAAAAUGCAAAUUUCCCAAGAAGAAGUAGCCCAGUUAAGACUGUUAUGAGACAGUCAUACUAUGGUGAAAAGAAUGCAUAAAGAAAGGAUCCUGAAUUAAAGAGAAAAGCAAAGGACAAUUGUAAAGGACACAGAAUUGCUGGGAAGAAAAAUGCCUAGAGCUUUCCCAAAUCAGGCAGUAAAAAGGCACUGAGCAUCUGCGAGACACGUAUGAGGAUUUUUUCAAUCAGCUUCUUUUGGUUUAAAUUGACAGAAACCCCAACUCAACUAAGCUUAGGAAAAAAAAGGGUAAUCUAUUGGCUCAUAUAAUUUAAAAGUACGACUUUUAAAUUAGAUGGAGCUUCAGGCAUGGCUUGAUCCAGGUAUCAAGCAAUACUUUCAAAACUUUGUCUUCUCUGUUUUCCUGCUUUCAGCAGGCCCUCUGCUCCUGUCUUCUCCCAAAUAUAGUAUAAGUUUUUUUCUUUACCCUGAUCACUAAAGUAAAAAUUGUGGGAUAAGCUGUGAUUGGCCAUGCGCUCGUCCCUGAGUCAGUCGAGGUGGCUUCCAGAUACAAGGCUCUGGUGGGCCAUGUGGGAUUUAUUGGCUUUGUCCUGGAACCAGAGGUGGGUCAGCUUCACUGACACACUUGCACCAAGGAAAUGGGCGUGGUGUUGCCAGAAAAGAGGGACGUGGGUAUUGGAGCUUCACAUAGCACAUGUCCCGCCCAGCAGCCUCUGCGAGUUCCAACCCAGAGUGGCUGUGAAAUCAAGUUGCUGGAUCACAGCCAGCAUCAAAAGAUUAUUCUAGAAGAGAAUUUAAUAGAAGAUACCUGAGUGUGUCACAUUCAGUAAAAGUCAGUUUUGUGAAACCUUUGUUUGAGUUAUACAGGUGCAUAUGUAUCUACAAAUGUAAAUAUGUGUGCAUAUUUAUAUACAUGUAUGUAUAAAUGUGUGGAUAAAUAUGAAUUGUUGACCAUGGUUUAUGGAAAAAAAGGUGUAAACAUGUGUAAAUAUGUGCAAAUAUGUGCAUAUUUAUAUACAUACAUAUUUGGACUUAUAGGUGUAAAUAUGUGUGCAUAUUUAUAUACAUGUAUGUGUAAAUGUGUGGAUAAGUAUGAAAUUUUGAGUUAUAUGCAGUUAAAUAAAAUAUAUAAUC
Gorilla gorilla gorilla (western lowland gorilla) is the source of this 3864-nucleotide long non-coding RNA. RefSeq lists it as uncharacterized. The transcript has 4 exons. Lineage: Eukaryota; Metazoa; Chordata; Mammalia; Primates; Hominidae. The record is from RefSeq and is a predicted model, not a curated record.